GACGCAAGUUGAGCUGUGUGGGAUAUGGGAAGGAAGACUUGGCACACUCAUUGGGAGCACACCCCUGCAGCCCUGCGAUGACCCGCUACUUUGGGCUUCAGGAACUUUGCUGAAACUAUGGCGGAAUAUUUACUGCGGGAUGGGCAAAGAAUAGCAAACAGAAGCAGAGUGACGGGACUUCAGGCAGUUGAGAGGAUUCAUAACCGAUGUGGAAUUACUCUUGUUGACGGCUGCUGAUGAGUGACUACGGUCCUGCAGUACCUGAGGGGGCUCCGACCCAGGCCAAACCCAAGACGCCAUCAUCAAAGUCUCUGUCAGUGAAAACGUAAGCCAAACAGUAGUCAUCGUGGUUCUGCUCGGAGUUCAG
Phyllopteryx taeniolatus (common seadragon) is the source of this 367-nucleotide long non-coding RNA. RefSeq lists it as uncharacterized. NCBI's taxonomy places the organism in Eukaryota, Metazoa, Chordata, Actinopteri, Syngnathiformes, Syngnathidae. The record is from RefSeq and is a predicted model, not a curated record. The transcript has 3 exons.